AAAUGACGGUACCUGACUAAGAAGCCCCGGCUAACUACGUGCCAGCAGCCGCGGUAAUACGUAGGGGGCAAGCGUUAUCCGGAUUUACUGGGUGUAAAGGGAGCGUAGACGGCAUGGCAAGCCAGAUGUGAAAGCCCGGGGCUCAACCCCGGGACUGCAUUUGGAACUGUCAGGCUAGAGUGUCGGAGAGGAAAGCGGAAUUCCUAGUGUAGCGGUGAAAUGCGUAGAUAUUAGGAGGAACACCAGUGGCGAAGGCGGCUUUCUGGACGAUGACUGACGUUGAGGCUCGAAAGCGUGGGGAGCAAACAGGAUUAGAUACCCUGGUAGUCCACGCGGUAAACGAUGAAUGCUAGGUGUCGGGUGACGAAGUCAUUCGGUGCCGCCGCAAACGCAUUAAGCAUUCCACCUGGGGAGUACGUUCGCAAGAAUGAAACUCAAA
This 439-nucleotide ribosomal RNA is filed under the name uncultured bacterium. RNAcentral's name for it is "bacterial SSU rRNA". It matches the Rfam family "Bacterial small subunit ribosomal RNA", at positions 467 to 905 of the family's 1533-position model. The record is from RNAcentral.